GAUGAACGCUGGCGGCGUGCUUAACACAUGCAAGUCGAACGGAAAGGCCCUGCUUUUGUGGGGUGCUCGAGUGGCGAACGGGUGAGUAACACGUGAGUAACCUGCCCUUGACUUUGGGAUAACUUCAGGAAACUGGGGCUCAUACCGGAUAGGAGCUCCUGCUGCAUGGUGGGGGUUGGAAAGUUUCGGCGGUUGGGGCUGGACUCGCGGCUUAUCAGCUUGUUGGUGGGGUAGUGGCUUACAAAGGCUUUGACGGGUAGCCGGCCUGAGAGGGUGACCGGCCACAUUGGGACUGAGAUACGGCCCAGACUCCUACGGGAGGCAGCAGUGGGGAAUAUUGCACAAUGGGCGGAAGCCUGAUGCAGCAACGCCGCGUGCGGGAUGACGGCCUUCGGGUUGUAAACCGCUUUCGCCUGUGACGAAGCGUGAUUGACGGUAAUGGGUAAAGAAGCACCGGCUAACUACGUG
RNAcentral lists this ribosomal RNA (468 nucleotides) under uncultured bacterium. RNAcentral describes it as "partial 16S ribosomal RNA". It matches the Rfam family "Bacterial small subunit ribosomal RNA", at positions 28 to 507 of the family's 1533-position model. The record is from RNAcentral.